Herpailurus yagouaroundi (jaguarundi) is the source of this 1439-nucleotide long non-coding RNA. RefSeq lists it as uncharacterized. The transcript has 4 exons. Lineage: Eukaryota; Metazoa; Chordata; Mammalia; Carnivora; Felidae. The record is from RefSeq and is a predicted model, not a curated record.
GGCUGCCCGCGUGGGGUCGGCUGCGGCCCGGCAGAGUUGGCGCGCGAGGGUGUGGAAGCCGAGAGGUGAUCCUGCCGACCGCACCGCGGACGCGUGCGGGACGCUGUCCCCUGUCUACUCCGCGCUCCCAGGUGCCUGUGAUGAAUGACACAUCGAUCAACCCAUAGUCUUCAGACAUUGCCGUGUGAAGCCAAUGAAAGAUGUCUGCUGGUAACCAAAUGAUGAUCUUAUGAAAAGACCGUGGGGACUAUGAGCUAUCCUGGGGUUCCACGUGCCAGAGACAUGAAGAAAGCAGAGCGGUCCCAGAGAAAAGUGACCGUGGAGGAGGAGCUUCCGCCACAAGGGAGAGAAUAGGAUGUCGCACGAAAAGAACCGGGCUGCCCGAGAACGCUUUCCAGGUCAGACUGUUGGCUGCUUCUUCCCUGUAGCUAAAUAAAGGACCAUCUUCAAAGGACGAGAAGGCGAGUCCAUCUGGUCUCCGUGAUUGCACUGGUCAGGGGAGUCCCAGCCAAGUCCCAAGCUUUCGCUAUGUGGACAGUCAGCUCAUACCACCCAGAAUCUACAUCUGGCUGCCAAAUGCACCUUGCUCUGGCCACCCACAUGCACGAGAUCCAAUGAGCAACAGCCUCCGCAUUCUCCUGGCUGAACAAAGAGGGCGAUUGCCACAAGCAGGGCUAUUGUUCAGUUGGCAUUGGCAUCAAAGGCCCAGGCCAGCUCCCCUUUGUCUGUCAGCUGCUAUUCAGAAGGAAAAGAGAAGAAAAGCAAACCAAUAGGUUUCUUGGAGAGAAUCAUCUGUGGACGUGGGACGUUUGCUGUAGUGCUGCGCUAACGUGAUUGUAAUAACAACUUGUAAAGCCUACUUAACAUGGAGAGCCUUACCAGCCCAUAUUCCAAAAUGUCACGGUGCCUGCUUAUAACGGGCAUACUGUUUCCCGGAUUUAGAGCUCUUUAGACUUGAGUCAUCCCUGCCUGCUUCUGUGUGACAAGGUCUGGGCACGGCGUUUUGGAGCACAUUGUCACAGGGAUGGUAACCUUUUUACCCUACGUCAGCAUUAAGAACAUGGCGUCUUGCCUUCAGAUAACAUUCUGCAAGAGACUCUUCCGCAGAAAGCCAGAUUUUUUCUCACCUGGCUCUUUGCCCGUCUCAGGCCACCAACAGCAAUGGGCUUUUGACACCUUCACAUAUGUCAGGUUUUUUUUCUUCUGACUCUUUCGCCCGCACUGGAGGAUGAAGGGUCAGGCAGAUACAGUCCUCCCUGGCAGGCAGGAGUAUUGUUUUGUGUGCGGGUCAAAAAUUUUAUUUGUAUUAUGAGAUCUUCCUGACACGUGGGAAAAGAACAGGUAAUAAAAAUAACGAACGUGCGGUUUCCGCCUCUAGGCUUGAAAAAAAUGACAAAACACCGGUGUCCUGUGCACCCAUUCUGAUCGCCUUCCUCUCU